This 1268-nucleotide ribosomal RNA is filed under the name uncultured prokaryote. Its description in RNAcentral is "partial 16S ribosomal RNA". It matches the Rfam family "Bacterial small subunit ribosomal RNA", at positions 60 to 1387 of the family's 1533-position model. The record is from RNAcentral.
AGUCGAGCGGUAACAUUCCUAGCUUGCUAGGAGAUGACGAGCGGCGGACGGGUGAGUAAUGCUUGGGAAUAUGCCUUAUGGUGGGGGACAACAGUUGGAAACGACUGCUAAUACCGCAUAACGUCUACGGACCAAAGGGGGGGGCUCCUCUCGCCUAAAGAGUGGCCUAAGCGAGAUUAGCUUGUUGGUGAGGUAAAGGCUCACCAAGGCGACGAUCUCUAGCUGUUCUGAGAGGAAGAUCAGCCACACUGGGACUGAGACACGGCCCAGACUCCUACGGGAGGCAGCAGUGGGGAAUAUUGCACAAUGGGCGAAAGCCUGAUGCAGCCAUGCCGCGUGUGUGAAGAAGGCCUUCGGGUUGUAAAGCACUUUCAGUUGUGAGGAAAGGGGUGUAGUUAAUAGCUGCAUUCUGUGACGUUAACAACAGAAGAAGCACCGGCUAACUUCGUGCCAGCAGCCGCGGUAAUACGAGGGGUGCAAGCGUUAAUCGGAAUUACUGGGCGUAAAGCGUUCGUAGGCGGUCUAUUAAGCAAGAUGUGAAAGCCCCGGGCUCAACCUGGGAAUAGCAUUUAGAACUGGCAGGCUAGAGUCUUGGAGAGGGGAGUGGAAUUUCAGGUGUAGCGGUGAAAUGCGUAGAUAUCUGGAGGAACAUCAGUGGCGAAGGCGACUCCCUGGCCAAAGACUGACGCUCAUGUGCGAAAGUGUGGGUAGCGAACAGGAUUAGAUACCCUGGUAGUCCACACCGUAAACGAUGUCUACUAGCUGUUUGUGGAUUUAAUCCGUGAGUAGCGCAGCUAACGCGAUAAGUAGACCGCCUGGGGAGUACGGCCGCAAGGUUAAAACUCAAAUGAAUUGACGGGGGCCCGCACAAGCGGUGGAGCAUGUGGUUUAAUUCGAUACAACGCGAAGAACCUUACCUACUCUUGACAUACUAGAAACUUUUCAGAGAUGAAUUGGUGCCUUCGGGAAUCUAGAUACAGGUGCUGCAUGGCUGUCGUCAGGUGAGAUGUGGGUAGUCCCGCAACGAGCGCAACCCUGUCCUAGUGCCAGCCUAGUGGCACUCUAAGGAGACUGGCGGUGACAACCGAAAAGGUUGAUGACGUCAAGUCUCCUGGGCCUUACGGUGGGCUACACAGGCUACAUGGCAGUGACAUGGGUUAAUCCCCCAAAAAUGUUUGAUCGGGAAGGGUUCUGCGAACUCCACGCCAGAUCCAAUCACAAUUAAUCCUCACACAUACGCGGAGAAAAGAAUUCUCGCCGCUGUGAUA